This 38-nucleotide small RNA is filed under the name Plasmodium falciparum 3D7. Its description in RNAcentral is "Pfa-starR7517". The record is from RNAcentral. Lineage: Eukaryota; Apicomplexa; Aconoidasida; Haemosporida; Plasmodiidae.
CUUAUGUGAGAAUAGUAGUAGUAGUUGACUUAAAUUGG